CACUGCUAACUUCCAGGUCAAGUUUAGGGUGCAGGGCAUCCAGCAGUACAGAAGAUACAUUUGUCUCAAGGAAUUCAGAGGCCAAAAUUCCUAGAAUCCAUGUUGCUCUCUUCUCCUAUAUAAAAUAGCAAUAAUGGGAGUUCUUAUCUCAUGGAAACAAAUCUGACGUGUAUCCAUGAGGAUACAGGUUCGAUCCCUGGCCUCGCUCAGUGGGUUACAGAUCCAGUGUUGCCAUGAGCUGGGGUGUAGGUCACAGAUGCAGCUUGGACCUGGCAUUGCUAUGGCUGUGGCAUAGGCCGGCAGCUUAGCUCUGAUUCGACCCCUAGCCUGGGAACCUCCCUAUGCCAAGGGUGCGGCCCUAAAAAGACAAAUAAAAUAAAAUAGCAAUAAUGAUAGUAACAAACACUGAGAGCCAUUUAGUGGACAAUUAUUACAUGCAAGGUCAGUGCCAGACACAAUCUACAUAAACUAUUGCUAAUAUUCAUCAUAAUUCCUUGCGGGUAUGCAUCACUAUUCCCAUGGAGGAAAGAGAUUGAGGCUGGAAGAGUGAGGGUGAUUAAUUGAAUUGCCAGAAGUUCUGCAGCCACAAAUGAUAGAGCUGGAUUUCAACCCAGCUCCUACAGAUUUUAAUAAAGCCCUCUCCUCCCCAGACUGCCUCUGCUGGACUUCACCCCGCCCUCCUCCCAGGCACAAAGCUUUGCAGACGGCUGCCAUUUCCACAGGACCUCAUUUAAUCCCCACAAGCACCUGGAGAGGCAGGACCCUUCAUUAGCAGACCCAUGUGCCACUGGAGGGAUCUAAGUGCAGGUGAAAGAAUCUGCCAACCGUAGCUCAGCCCGCGAGUUAUAAAGAUUAUAAAGACAUUGCGUGUCUUAAGAUCAAAUAAAAGGCAACUCUGAGGCUGCUGCUUGGUGAGAAGCCUUCUGCAGAGGCGAAAAAUAUGUGCAAACAAAACCAACAGCUUUCUUUAUGUUCCCCAAAGUUGCUAAAAAUGCCUGCGGGUUUGCACACAAGCAGACGCCCGUGCUGACAGUGCUGUGUGGCUUCUGUCUUUGGCGCUGGCAAGAAAAGACCUGGCAGGUAUUUCUCACGUCUUUGUUAAACACACACACCAGACAAGGGGAGGCGUUCCAAGGUAGGCCCAGGGUGUGGAUUUCUGCCAAGUCUCCUUUUUAUUUGCUGUUAAGUUAGGGGGGAAAAAAAGACAUCUCAUGGGUGAGCCGCUGAUCCCUUGAGGUGACUGUGGAGUGGUGAAAAAUGCCUCCUCUGUACUGGGAGUCAGACAGUCGUGUCCUAAUUUGGCUUCUUUUACCGGCAAGCCCUAUGACCUUGACCAGUUUGCUUUGCCUUGCUGAGCAAGCCUCCGUCUGCCCAUCUAUAAAAUGGAUAAUGUCUUCUGGAGGAACUAAAUAUAAGCUCCAUAAGGGACUUUUGUCUGUGCAGUUUGCUCCUGCAUUCUGCUGCCUAAAACAGUGCCUGACACAGAGUAAGUGCUCUUAGUUGAAUGAAGAAAGAGUGAGUGAAUGAAUGAAUGAAUGAGUGGCCAUCUUGCAGGGCUGCUGUAAGGUUGAAAUAAGAUCACGGAUGUGAAAUUGCUUUCCCAACUGCAAAUUGCUUCACGUUCGUGAGGAUGUUUUAUCGUACAGAACAUUGUCUGGUUUCUCUCAAAUGAAUUUGUUCAGUCGAUGGGUCAGCGAUUGCUGAGUGAGCUUUUUCUUGGGUCUGGCAUUGGGAUCCAGGGGAAUAGGAGACCUGAUUCCUCCUUUCAGGUGCUCACAGUCCACUAGGAAAGUAUACAAAGAAAUACUAAAAUACAGCAGAGGUAAACAUGGAUGCUGUGAGAACAGACAGG
RNAcentral lists this long non-coding RNA (1852 nucleotides) under Sus scrofa (pig). RNAcentral's name for it is "lncRNA (ENSSSCG00015006050.1)". The record is from RNAcentral. Lineage: Eukaryota; Metazoa; Chordata; Mammalia; Artiodactyla; Suidae.